GAAAGAACGUAGCGAAAUGCGAUAAGUAAUGUGAAUUGCAGAAUUCAGUGAAUCAUCGAAUCUUUGAACGCACAUUGCGCCCGCCAGUAUUCUGGCGGGCAUGCCUGUUCGAGCGUCAUUUCAACCAUCAAGCCCCAGGCUUGUGUUGGGGACCUGCGGCUGCCGCAGGCCCUGAAAACCAGUGGCGGGCUCGCUGUCACACCGGGCGUAGUAGAUUUUAUCUCGCUCUGGGCGUGCUGCGGGUUCCGGCCGUUAAAAAACCCUUUUAACCCAAGGUUGACCUCGGAUCAGGUAGGAAUACCCGCUGAACUUAAGCAUAUCAAUAAGCGGAGGA
This 334-nucleotide unclassified non-coding RNA is filed under the name soil metagenome. Its description in RNAcentral is "partial contains 5.8S ribosomal RNA, internal transcribed spacer 2, and large subunit ribosomal RNA". The stretch from base 3 to 118 matches the Rfam family "5.8S ribosomal RNA", at positions 39 to 154 of the family's 154-position model. The record is from RNAcentral.